AGUGAACGCUGGCGGUAGGCCUAACACAUGCAAGUCGAACGGCAGCACAGAGGAGCUUGCUCCUUGGGUGGCGAGUGGCGGACGGGUGAGGAAUACAUCGGAAUCUACUCUGUCGUGGGGGAUAACGUAGGGAAACUUACGCUAAUACCGCAUACGACCUACGGGUGAAAGCGGGGGAUCGCAAGGCCUCGCGCGAUUAGAUUAGCUGAUGUCCGAUUAGCUAGUUGGCGGGGUAAUGGCCCACCAAGGCGACGAUCGGUAGCUGGUCUGAGAGGAUGAUCAGCCACACUGGAACUGAGACACGGUCCAGACUCCCACGGGAGGCAGCAGUGGGGAAUAUUGGACAAUGGGCGCAAGCCUGAUCCAGCCAUGCCGCGUGGGUGAAGAAGGCCUUCGGGUUGUAAAGCCCUUUUGCCCGGAAAGAAAAGAACUGGAUUAAUACUUCGGUGUGCUGGCGGUACCGGAAGAAUAAGCACCGGCUAACUUCGUGCCAGCCGCCGCAGUAA
RNAcentral lists this ribosomal RNA (506 nucleotides) under uncultured bacterium. RNAcentral's name for it is "partial 16S ribosomal RNA". It matches the Rfam family "Bacterial small subunit ribosomal RNA", at positions 29 to 523 of the family's 1533-position model. The record is from RNAcentral.